RNAcentral lists this long non-coding RNA (1179 nucleotides) under Callithrix jacchus (white-tufted-ear marmoset). Its description in RNAcentral is "lncRNA (ENSCJAG00000086784.1)". The record is from RNAcentral. Lineage: Eukaryota; Metazoa; Chordata; Mammalia; Primates; Cebidae.
GUUUUCACCUCUCCUGCCUUUCAAAAGUGCAAUGUUCUGAAAAUGCGUAGCCUUCUCAAAGACUAACAGAUUGACUAAUGGGUCUAUAAAAACACUUCCCAGAAAGAACAGGCUAGAAACCAAUGAAGCAUGGCUAAUCUGAUCUAUUACAAGUACGGAAGACUAUCUACAGUAGGUCAUUAAGCAGCCAAUGAUGUAAAUACAAACUCUAUUAAUAGGAAAUGUGCCACUUUGUUUUGCAGGAUGCAGCAGGCGGAUGAUCACCAGCGGCCUGUCGGAAGUGCUCUGGAGCAACUGCGCUGUGCGUGCAGGGAGAGACCUGGUGGAGAGACCGCGAAAAGGCUUCACUGAGAAAGGAUGGCAAUGCUCAAGCCAGUGUGGAUGGCUUUCUGUAUCCUGGGAAGGUGCUGGCAACUCCCCAGAGCUGGAAAGACUGGGCCAUGAACAGGGCUGUCAACUCCAGCCCUGUCAUGGCCCUGUCAACUCCAGGUCACCCCCAAGGCCUGCGGCCAAAAUGCUUGGAAGAAGAAAAGCCAGAAACACAUGGAAAGCUCCAGAAGCAGCAGAUUGGCCUCUUACCCUGGGCUGACUCCACUCUGGAAAACCAGUCUGUUUUCAGGCUGCUGAUAAAGACAUACCUGAGACUGGGAAAUCUGCAGAAGAAAGAGGCUUAUUGGAUUUACAGUUCCACAUGGCUGGGGAGGCUUCACAAUCACGGUGGAAGGCAAGGAGGAGCAAGUCACAUCUUAUGUGGACAGCAGCAGGUAAAAAUAGAGAGCUUGUGCAGAAAAACUCCCAUUUUAAAAAUCAUCAGAUCUUGUGAAACUCAUUUUACUAUCAUGAGAACAGCUCAAGAAAGACCUGCUCUCAUAAUUCAACCACCUCCCACUGGGUUCCUCCAUGACACAUGGGAAUUUUGGGAGCUACAGUUUGAGAUGAGACUUUGGUGGGGACACAGCCAAACCAUUAUCAAUGGAUAAUUUAUCAUCUUUGUGUUCCUGAUUCUGCAGAGAGGAUGGAUCUCGGUCCUCAAACCCAAGGCACCAAAACCUCAACCUUGUUUUCCUUUUAUAUUCUAACCCUUACUUGAUGGUGGGGUUAAUUAAUUAAACAUAAGCACAACGAAUUCAGAGUUUCCUCUGGCACUUCAGGGUCUCUCUGGUGGUGUCAAAAUUCAAG